RNAcentral lists this ribosomal RNA (495 nucleotides) under Trapezionida philippinensis. RNAcentral's name for it is "Munida philippinensis partial 16S ribosomal RNA". It matches the Rfam family "Bacterial large subunit ribosomal RNA", at positions 1858 to 2606 of the family's 2925-position model. The record is from RNAcentral. Lineage: Eukaryota; Metazoa; Arthropoda; Malacostraca; Decapoda; Munididae.
CCUGCCCAUUGAAUAAUUUAAAAGGCCGCAGUAUAUUAACUGUGCAAAGGUAGCAUAAUCAUUAGUUUUUUAAUUAAAGGCUUGUAUGAAGGGCUGGACAAAGAAAAAUCUGUUUCUAUUUUUAUAUUUGAAUUUAACUUUUAAGUGAAAAGGCUUAAAUAAAUUUAAGGGACGAUAAGACCCUAUAAAUCUUUAUAUUAAAUUAUUUUUAUUUUAUUAAUACCGUAGAUAUAAUGAUAAAGUAAUAAAUAUUAUAUUGGGGUGAUAAGAAUAUAAAAAAUUAACUGUUCUAAAAUUAAAACAAAAUUAUUUGAAAAAAAAUAAUAGAUCCUUUAUAAAGAUUAAAAGUUUAAGUUACUUUAGGGAUAACAGCGUUAUUUUUUUUGAGAGUUCUUAUCGAAAAAAAAGUUUGCGACCUCGAUGUUGAAUUAAAUUUUCUUUGUGGUGUAGUUAUUACAAAAGAGAGUCUGUUCGACUUUUAAAGGAGCUAGAGCU